GUCCCUUUGCAAAUUGUUUUUUUUAAAAAAGCAUGAUACAGAAAUCUAUGCAUACACAGCAUAAGACUUUUACAGGUAAGACAUUUGUACAUCCGUUUAAUUUCAGGUGAUCCACUCAUUCAGCCUUGAGCAGCCAGGAGAACUCUGCCUCUUUUACUUCCCAUUCUCAGUGCCGAACAUUCGCUCCUUUAACAUCCUCUCCAAUUUUAUUGCAUCUGCAGCAAACUUUCUGAUCCCAUCAGACAGCUUCUCCACAGCCAUUUGGUCUUCGUUGUGGUGCCAGCGGAAUGCCUUCUCAUCCAGGUGGAUCUUCUCGAGGUCACAGGCCUGAGCUGCACCAGGGCAAUUGAAAAAUAAAUGAAACUCUUCAGAUUGUCAUCAGGUACCCUGGGCUUCUUAAAAACUGUCUCAAGCUUCUGGCCAUCUCCAAAUGAAAAGCUGAGAAGUUUCUAACACCAUUUUCAGCAUGACUUGCUCUGUGAGCACACUAUAGGAUGCAAGAAUCAAAAUGCUCCUCAUCUGCGUUCAUAAGAAGGUUAUCUAGAUCAUCAGUUUCCUUCAAAAUACAGUGUUCACAGGUGUGCUGUUAUCUUGUAUCUGUUUCUAAUUGGUCUGGUGCUUUCAGGAAUACUACCAAGAAUACUGCAGUGAGAUAUUCUAAGCAAAGAGGCUGAACAAUUAGGCCUUUGAUCCUGUGGCAAGUACCUAACAAAAGCUCAAUUGAUAUACGCCUACAAGCCAGCUACCACCCUGUGAGCACCAACUACAGCUGUACACAAAUCCCAACAUUUGAACUGAGAAGCAGCAUUUUAAUAAGGCUACAGAAGCACAAGAAUAAUGCCAUGAGAACAUACACUCAAAACUACUGAGGCAGAGUAUCACUAGAUCAAAUAAGUCUUGCGUGUGACUUCAUCUCUAAUGUUUCUGGAGGGAAAACAUCUUUUGGCAUGCCCAGAGCUAACAGCAGUAUUAGCAUAAUGAUUAAACUCUGCUUGGAUUUCUGCUAACCAUCAGUAAGAUUUCACCCCAAGUACAUGAAGCAUGAAGUUCCUCCUCCCUACCCGUCUUCAGGGAAAGAGACUGAGUAUUUAAGCAUGCCCAAAGCCCAGUUCCAAUUAAUGUACUCAGUGGGAACUGACACCCUAAGGAACUAACCAUGUAUAAGCAGUUGUAGUGGUACAGCUGUAACAUGACCAUUUCCUUCAGAGAAGGGUCAAGGUUUAGCCUUAAAGCAGAAUGGAAGCACCAUGGAACUGGAUGGAACCACAUACUCUUCACGUUCAAGAAGAAAGGGAGUCUGAGCAAAUCUGUAUUACAGAGAACUGGACUUACCCUCCUUAACGCUGAGCGUGGGAGUUAGCUUGACGUGCUCUUUGCUGAGCUCUGCCAAGAGCUUGGGUGAAAUAGUGAGAUAGUCACAGCCUGUAAGAGCUUUGAUUUCUCCUGUAUUUCGAAAUGAAGCACCCAUCACAAUGGUUUUGUAGCCAAACUUUUUGUAGUAAUUAUAGAUCUUAGUGACGCUCUUCACUCCUGGAUCUUCUGAAGGCUCGUAGGUUUUCUUAUCUCCGUUAGCAACAUGCCAAUCCAGGAUGCGUCCUACAAAUGGGGAGAUCAGAGUAACCCCAGCUUCAGCACAGGCGACUGCCUGAGCAAAGGAGAACAGCAAGGUCAUGUUGCAAUGAAUCCCGUACUCUGCUUCCAGAACCUUGCCAGCCUGGAUUCCUUCCCAUGUUGAAGAAAGCUUUAUGAGAAUCCGAUCUUUACCAAUUCCUACUUCCUUAUAAAGGUCAAUCAGACGCCUGGCCCUCUGAAUCAUUCCUUCUUUAUCAAAAGACAACCUUGCAUCUACUUCUGUGGACACACGGCCAGGUAUCCUCUUCAGUAUUUCAGCUCCAAACAAUACAAAGAGUUUGUCACAGGCAUUUUGGAUUUGCUCAUCUUCUGACCCCCCCAGUUUCUUCCCAUAUGCAACCGCAUCAUCCACAAGUUUCUGGUAUGCAGGCAUCUGAGCAGCAGCCAGGAUCAGAGAUGGGUUCGUGGUGGCAUCCAGGGGUUUGUACUCAUCGAUUGCGUUGAAAUCCCCGGUGUCGGCCACCACCGUGGUGUGGUGCUUCAGCUGCUCCAGCGCCGACUCCAUCUUCUGCCUCUUCACGGGGGACACCGACAUAACUCCGCAGGACGCGGGGGGGGCUGCGGCCGCCUUAAAGGAACGCUGCGUGCCCGGAGGGGAUCCUGCCCGCCCGCCCGCCUGCCUGCCUGCGCGCGCACCCGCCGCUCGCUCCCGACACCCUCGGCCGGGGGAGGGCGCGCCGCCCGCUCCGUCCAAUCCCGUCUCCGGUGGGUGUUGCUGCGAGCCAAUCGGCGGCGCGGGGACAAGUCAG
RNAcentral lists this long non-coding RNA (2381 nucleotides) under Gallus gallus (chicken). Lineage: Eukaryota; Metazoa; Chordata; Aves; Galliformes; Phasianidae. The record is from RNAcentral.